GUUCACCUUGCCUAAAAAGCUGGUGAAGUAAGAAGCCGGGUAAGACCGGUGCCAGCCGCCGCGGUAAUACCUGCGGCUCGAGGUGGUGGUCGCUAUUAUUGAGCCUAAAGCGUCCGUAGCCGGUUUAGUAAAUUUUUGGGUAAAUCGGGCAGCUUAACUGUCCGAAUUCCGAAAAGACUGCUAAACUUGGGACCGGAGGAGGUUGGAGGUACUCCUGGGGUAGGGGUGAAAUCCUGUAAUCCUGGGGGGACCACCAGUGGCGAAGGCGUCCAACCAAAACGGCUCCGACGGUAAGGGACGAAGCCCUGGGGCGCAAACGGGAUUAGAUACCCCGGUAGUCCAGGGUGUAAACGCUGCAGGCUUGGUGUUGGGGGUCCUACGAGGGCGCCCAGUGCCGGAGAGAAGUUGUUAAGCCUGCCGCUUGGGGAGUACGUCCGCAAGGAUGAAACUUAAAGGAAUUGGCGGGGGAGCACAGCAACGGGUGGAGCGUGCGGUUCAAUUGGAUUCAACGCCGUAAAACUCACCGGGAGCGACGGUUACAUGAAGGCCAGGCUGAUGACCUUGCCUGAUUUUCCGAGAGGUGGUGCAUGGCCGUCGUCAGUUCGUACCGUAAGGCGUUCUGUUAAGUCAGAUAACGAACGAGACCCUCAUCCUUAUUUGCAACUAUUUCUCUCGAGAAAUAGGCACUAUAGGGAGACCGCUGGCGCUAAGUCAGAGGAGGGAGAGGUCAACGGUAGGUCAGUAUGCCCCGAAUCUCCCGGGCAACACGCGCGCUACAAAGGACUGGACAAUGAGUCUCGACACCGAAAGGUGAAGGUAAUCUCGAAACCAGUCCAUAGUUCGGAUUGAGGGCUGUAACCCGCCCUCAUGAAGCUGGAAUCCGUAGUAAUCGCGGGUCAACAUCCCGCGGUGAAUAUGCCCCUGCUCUUUGCACACACCGCCCGUCAAACCAUCCGAGUUGGGUCUAGAUGAGGGUGCCUCUACUUGGGGCGUUCAAAUCUGGGUUCAGCAAGGGGGGUUAAGUCGUAAC
RNAcentral lists this ribosomal RNA (1030 nucleotides) under uncultured archaeon. RNAcentral's name for it is "bacterial SSU rRNA". It matches the Rfam family "Archaeal small subunit ribosomal RNA", at positions 408 to 1439 of the family's 1478-position model. The record is from RNAcentral.